GCAUUGUAGAGGAGUCCCAUACUAGGACGAAACGGCCGUCCAGUGC
Non-coding RNA from Schistosoma mansoni, 46 nucleotides. NCBI's taxonomy places the organism in Eukaryota, Metazoa, Platyhelminthes, Trematoda, Strigeidida, Schistosomatidae. The record is from Rfam.